Molecule: ribosomal RNA, 450 nt
Filed under: uncultured bacterium
Lineage: Bacteria
Description: partial 16S ribosomal RNA
Rfam family: Bacterial small subunit ribosomal RNA
Source: RNAcentral
GUCGAGAAUAAUUCACAAUGGACGAAAGUCUGAUGGUGCAACGCCGCGUGGAGGAUGAAGGUCUUCGGAUUGUAAACUCCUGUCAUCGGGGAGUAAGACCUGGCGGUAAAUAGCCGACAGGGUUGAUAGUACCCGAAGAGGAAGGGACGGCUAACUUCGUGCCAGCAGCCGCGGUAAUACGAAGGUCCCAAGCGUUGUUCGGAAUCACUGGGCGUAAAGGGAGCGUAGGCGGCGUGGUAAGUCAGAUGUGAAAUCGCGGGGCUCAACCCCGGAACUGCAUCCGAUACUGCCAUGCUUGAGGGUUGGAGAGGUAGCUGGAAUUCUCGGUGUAGCAGUGAAAUGCGUGGAUAUCGAGAGGAACACUCGUGGCGAAGGCGAGCUACUGGACAACAUCUGACGCUGAGGCUCGAAGGCCAGGGGAGCAAAAGGGAUUAGAUACCCUUGUAGUCC